GACGAACGCGGCGGCGUGCCUAAUACAUGCAAGUAGAACGCACAGGAUGCACCGUAGUUUACUACACCGUAUUCUGUGAGUUGCGAACGGGUGAGUAACGCGUAGGUAACCUGCCUGGUAGCGGGGGAUAACUAUUGGAAACGAUAGCUAAUACCGCAUAAGAACAUUUACUGCAUGGUAGAUGUUUAAAAGGUGCAAAUGCAUCACUACCAGAUGGACCUGCGUUGUAUUAGCUAGUAGGUGAGGUCACGGCUCACCUAGGCGACGAUACAUAGCCGACCUGAGAGGGUGAUCGGCCACACUGGGACUGAGACACGGCCCAGACUCCUACGGGAGGCAGCAGUAGGGAAUCUUCGGCAAUGGGGGGAACCCUGACCGAGCAACGCCGCGUGAGUGAAGAAGGUUUUCGGAUCGUAAAGCUCUGUUGUUAAGGAAGAACGAGUUUGAGAA
This 450-nucleotide ribosomal RNA is filed under the name Streptococcus intermedius. RNAcentral's name for it is "bacterial SSU rRNA". It matches the Rfam family "Bacterial small subunit ribosomal RNA", at positions 28 to 461 of the family's 1533-position model. The record is from RNAcentral. Lineage: Bacteria; Bacillati; Bacillota; Bacilli; Lactobacillales; Streptococcaceae.